RNAcentral lists this ribosomal RNA (251 nucleotides) under uncultured Alphaproteobacteria bacterium. RNAcentral's name for it is "partial 16S ribosomal RNA". It matches the Rfam family "Bacterial small subunit ribosomal RNA", at positions 9 to 274 of the family's 1533-position model. Lineage: Bacteria; Pseudomonadati; Pseudomonadota; Alphaproteobacteria. The record is from RNAcentral.
GAGUUUGAUCGUGGCUCAGAACGAACGCUGGCGGCAUGCCUAACACAUGCAAGUCGAAACGGGAUCCAGGCUUUCGGCCUGGUGAGAGUGGCGGACGGGUGAGUAACGCGUGGGAACCUGCCCAAUGGUCUGGGAUAACCGCGGGAAACUGCGGCUAAAUACCGGAUAAGCCCGAGAGGGGAAAGAUUUAUCGCCGAUGGAGGGGCCCGCGUCCGAUUAGGUAGUUGGUGAGGUAACGGCGUCACCAAGCC